UGCCUUACACAUGCAAGUCGAACGGCAGCACGGGAGCUUGCUCCUGGUGGCGAGUGGCGAACGGGUGAGUAAUACAUCGGAACGUACCCUGAAGUGGGGGAUAACGUAGCGAAAGUUACGCUAAUACCGCAUAUUCUGUGAGCAGGAAAGAGGGGGAUCGCAAGACCUCUUGCUUUAGGAGCGGCCGAUGUCGGAUUAGCUAGUUGGUGAGGUAAAGGCUCACCAAGGCGACGAUCCGUAGCGGGUCUGAGAGGAUGAUCCGCCACACUGGGACUGAGACACGGCCCAGACUCCUACGGGAGGCAGCAGUGGGGAAUUUUGGACAAUGGGCGCAAGCCUGAUCCAGCCAUGCCGCGUGAGUGAAGAAGGCCUUCGGGUUGUAAAGCUCUUUCGGUGGGGAAGAAAUUGCUUCGGUUAAUACCUGGAGUAGAUGACGGUACCCGCAUAAGAAGCACCGGCUAACUACGUG
Molecule: ribosomal RNA, 469 nt
Filed under: uncultured bacterium
Lineage: Bacteria
Description: bacterial SSU rRNA
Rfam family: Bacterial small subunit ribosomal RNA
Source: RNAcentral